CUGAGAGUCCCGGUCUAGUCCACAGACGGUGACCUAACAAAGCAGACAUAGCAACGGGGGGUGAGGUGGGGGACGUGUCUGUCCUCCCCCGGGACAGUCCCUGUCCCCUUUGGGGAUGACAGUGACAGGUCCUUAGGGACCCAGACAGCCCAGGCUCUCACCCUGCCCUGCCCAGCCUCUUCCAGGCCCCAAGCUGUAGGAAUCUCCCCCCAACCCGGACUCUCCCACAAGCUUCAGCUGCCAGAGGACACAGAUGGGGGACCACAGGCACUCCCCAGCCCCUCGUCUGCUCCUUGGAGCCAGCCUGGGAGCAGAGGCUGGGGCUUGGGGCCUUGGGAUUGCAGUCAGUGUUAGACCCUCCGCAGUCAUUUCCCCUGGCACAGUCAGGUCCGGGCCACCCUCAGGAGAGCUGGGGGAGGAAGGGAGUGUUAAUAACUUAGCCAUGUAAACAACCCCUACCAGCCUGCCCUGCCACAGAACGGGCCUCUGGGGGGAGGCAAAGGGGCUAAGUGAAUCUAUGCCAACAUGACCCAAGUCCUGCCUGGUGCCAGUCCCUUCAGGCCUCCUCUCCUCGGAACCCCUCCUCUUCCCCUCAACUGCCUCCUCUCCAGUCUCUUGGGAGGAAGGCUCCUCCUGGCUCCCCUCUCCAGGGAUGGGGAGCCACGCCCAUGGGCUCCUCUCCAGCCCUAGGCCUGGAAGCACCAGGAACACGGGAUGGGGCAGACCCCCAGAACACCAGGCUGGAGCAGGUGGUGGAGCUCAUCAGGUCCCACCUCCUCUCCAGACACUUGGUGAAACUGAGGCCCUUAGAGCAGGGACACUAGAUCCUAGACCUUCCCAGAACUGUUAACACAGGACACUGUGCCUUUGGGCCCUGGGAGGAAGCUUGGGUGGGAACGUGAAGAGCAGCUUGGCCGCGUGAGGACCAGGCACGGCAGACACCGGCUGGUAGGGUGUGCCCAUGUGUCAGAACUGGAAAGGACCAGGAGCGAGUGGUCCAGCAGGCAUGGGGCAGCUGGCGUGGGUCAGAGCACCCAUCCCUGACCCGUGAGAACCCGACUGCCCCUGCCAGCUCUGGCACUGCCCCCUCCCAGCGGCCGUGCCCUAGCACCCCUAGGGGCACCCCGCCCCACCAUGGCCUGGUCCGGCCCCUCCCGCCCUUUGCUCCAGUUCCCGGGCUUGGCACCUAUGGUGGGGGUGCUGCCCGCCUGCCAGGCUCCGGGGCCGGGCCCA
Molecule: long non-coding RNA, 1233 nt
Filed under: Equus caballus (horse)
Lineage: Eukaryota; Metazoa; Chordata; Mammalia; Perissodactyla; Equidae
Description: lncRNA (ENSECAG00000053257.1)
Source: RNAcentral